This is a non-coding RNA of Salmo salar (Atlantic salmon), 54 nucleotides long. NCBI's taxonomy places the organism in Eukaryota, Metazoa, Chordata, Actinopteri, Salmoniformes, Salmonidae. The record is from Rfam.
UGCAUUCACUACUGUAUGUCACUCUGGAUAAGAGCGUCUGCUAAAUGACUAAGA